Molecule: ribosomal RNA, 546 nt
Filed under: uncultured Glomeromycotina
Lineage: Eukaryota; Fungi; Glomeromycota
Description: SSU rRNA
Rfam family: Eukaryotic small subunit ribosomal RNA
Source: RNAcentral
UUGGAGGGCAAGUCUGGUGCCAGCAGCCGCGGUAAUUCCAGCUCCAAUAGCGUAUAUUAAAGUUGUUGCAGUUAAAAAGCUCGUAGUUGAAUUUCGGGAUUAGUACGUUGGUCGUGCCUUCGGUACGUACUGGUGUUACUGAUUCCUACCUUCUGACGAACCAUCAUGUCAUUAAUUUGGUGUGGUGGGGAAUCAGGACUGUUACUUUGAAAAAAUUAGAGUGUUUAAAGCAGGCUCGCGCUUGAACACAUUAGCAUGGAAUAAUGAAAUAGGACGUUGACCCUAUUUUGUUGGUUUCUAGGAUUGACGUAAUGAUUAAUAGGGAUAGUUGGGGGCAUUAGUAUUCAAUUGUCAGAGGUGAAAUUCUUGGAUUUAUUGAAGACUAACUACUGCGAAAGCAUUUGCCAAGGAUGUUUUCAUUAAUCAAGAACGAAAGUUAGGGGAUCGAAGACGAUCAGAUACCGUCGUAGUCUUAACCAUAAACUAUGCCGACUAGGGAUCGGAUGAUGUUAUUUUUAACGACUCAUUCGGCGCCUUACGGGAAAC